UAGAGUUUGAUCCUGGCUCAGAUUGAACGCUGGCGGCAGGCCUAACACAUGCAAGUCGAGCGGUAGCACAGAGAGCUUGCUCUCGGGUGACGAGCGGCGGACGGGUGAGUAAUGUCUGGGAAACUGCCUGAUGGAGGGGGAUAACUACUGGAAACGGUAGCUAAUACCGCAUAACGUCGCAAGACCAAAGUGGGGGACCUUCGGGCCUCAUGCCAUCAGAUGUGCCCAGAUGGGAUUAGCUAGUAGGUGGGGUAAUGGCUCACCUAGGCGACGAUCCCUAGCUGGUCUGAGAGGAUGACCAGCCACACUGGAACUGAGACACGGUCCAGACUCCUACGGGAGGCAGCAGUGGGGAAUAUUGCACAAUGGGCGCAAGCCUGAUGCAGCCAUGCCGCGUGUAUGAAGAAGGCCUUCGGGUUGUAAAGUACUUUCAGCGAGGAGGAAGGCGUUAAGGUUAAUAACCUUGGCGAUUGACGUUACUCGCAGAAGAAGCACCGGCUAACUCCGUGCCAGCAGCCGCGGUAAUACGGAGGGUGCAAGCGUUAAUCGGAAUUACUGGGCGUAAAGCGCACGCAGGCGGUCUGUCAAGUCGGAUGUGAAAUCCCCGGGCUCAACCUGGGAACUGCAUUCGAAACUGGCAGGCUAGAGUCUUGUAGAGGGGGGUAGAAUUCCAGGUGUAGCGGUGAAAUGCGUAGAGAUCUGGAGGAAUACCGGUGGCGAAGGCGGCCCCCUGGACAAAGACUGACGCUCAGGUGCGAAAGCGUGGGGAGCAAACAGGAUUAGAUACCCUGGUAGUCCACGCCGUAAACGAUGUCGACUUGGAGGUUGUGCCCUUGAGGCGUGGCUUCCGGAGCUAACGCGUUAAGUCGACCGCCUGGGGAGUACGGCCGCAAGGUUAAAACUCAAAUGAAUUGACGGGGGCCCGCACAAGCGGUGGAGCAUGUGGUUUAAUUCGAUGCAACGCGAAGAACCUUACCUACUCUUGACAUCCAGAGAACUUAGCAGAGAUGCUUUGGUGCCUUCGGGAACUCUGAGACAGGUGCUGCAUGGCUGUCGUCAGCUCGUGUUGUGAAAUGUUGGGUUAAGUCCCGCAACGAGCGCAACCCUUAUCCUUUGUUGCCAGCGGUUCGGCCGGGAACUCAAAGGAGACUGCCAGUGAUAAACUGGAGGAAGGUGGGGAUGACGUCAAGUCAUCAUGGCCCUUACGAGUAGGGCUACACACGUGCUACAAUGGCAUAUACAAAGAGAAGCGACCUCGCGAGAGCAAGCGGACCUCAUAAAGUAUGUCGUAGUCCGGAUUGGAGUCUGCAACUCGACUCCAUGAAGUCGGAAUCGCUAGUAAUCGUAGAUCAGAAUGCUACGGUGAAUACGUUCCCGGGCCUUGUACACACCGCCCGUCACACCAUGGGAGUGGGUUGCAAAAGAAGUAGGUAGCUUAACCUUCGGGAGGGCGCUUACCACUUUGUGAUUCAUGACUGGGGUGAAGUCGUAACAAGGUAACCA
RNAcentral lists this ribosomal RNA (1503 nucleotides) under Klebsiella aerogenes. Its description in RNAcentral is "bacterial SSU rRNA". It matches the Rfam family "Bacterial small subunit ribosomal RNA". The record is from RNAcentral. Lineage: Bacteria; Pseudomonadati; Pseudomonadota; Gammaproteobacteria; Enterobacterales; Enterobacteriaceae.